Molecule: ribosomal RNA, 1343 nt
Filed under: uncultured bacterium
Lineage: Bacteria
Description: 16S ribosomal RNA
Rfam family: Bacterial small subunit ribosomal RNA
Source: RNAcentral
GACGAACGCUGGCGGCGUGCUUAACACAUGCAAGUCGAACGGAAAGGCCCUGCUUUUGUGGGGUGCUCGAGUGGCGAACGGGUGAGUAACACGUGAGUAACCUGCCCUUGACUUUGGGAUAACUUCAGGAAACUGGGGCUAAUACCGGAUAGGAGCUCCUGCUGCAUGGUGGGGGUUGGAAAGUUUCGGCGGUUGGGGAUGGACUCGCGGCUUAUCAGCUUGUUGGUGGGGUAGUGGCUUACCAAGGCUUUGACGGGUAGCCGGCCUGAGAGGGUGACCGGCCACAUUGGGACUGAGAUACGGCCCAGACUCCUACGGGAGGCAGCAGUGGGGAAUAUUGCACAAUGGGCGGAAGCCUGAUGCAACAACGCCGCGUGCGGGAUGACGGCCUUCGGGUUGUAAACCGCUUUCGCCUGUGACGAAGCGUGAGUGACGGUAAUGGGUAAAGAAGCACCGGCUAACUACGUGCCAGCAGCCGCGGUGAUACGUAGGGUGCGAGCGUUGUCCGGAUUUAUUGGGCGUAAAGGGCUCGUAGGUGGUUGAUCGCGUCGGAAGUGUAAUCUUGGGGCUUAACCCUGAGCGUGCUUUCGAUACGGGUUGACUUGAGGAAGGUAGGGGAGAAUGGAAUUCCUGGUGGAGCGGUGGAAUGCGCAGAUAUCAGGAGGAACACCAGUGGCGAAGGCGGUUCUCUGGGCCUUUCCUGACGCUGAGGAGCGAAAGCGUGGGGAGCGAACAGGCUUAGAUACCCUGGUAGUCCACGCUGUAAGCGGUGGGUACUAGGUGUGGGGUCCAUUCCACGGGUUCCGUGCCGUAGCUAACGCUUUAAGUACCCCGCCUGGGGAGUACGGCCGCAAGGCUAAAACUCAAAGGAAUUGACGGGGCCCCGCACAAGCGGCGGAGCAUGCGGAUUAAUUCGAUGCAACGCGUAGAACCUUACCUGGGUUUGACAUGGAUCGGGAGUGCUCAGAGAUGGGUGUGCCUCUUUUGGGGUCGGUUCACAGGUGGUGCAUGCCUGUCGUCAGCUCGUGUCGUGAGAUGUUGGGUUAAGUCCCGCAACGAGCGCAACCCUUGUUCACUGUUGCCAGCACGUUAUGGUGGGGACUCAGUGGAGACCGCCGGGGUCAACUCGGAGGAAGGUGGGGAUGACGUCAAGUCCUCAUGCCCCUUAUGUCCAGGGCUUCACGCAUGCUACAAUGGCUGGUACAGAGAGUGGCGAGCCUGUGAGGGUGAGCGAAUCUCGGAAAGCCGGUCUCAGUUCGGAUUGGGGUCUGCAACUCGACCUCAUGAAGUCGGAGUCGCUAGUAAUCGCAGAUCAGCAACGCUGCGGUGAAUACGUUCCCGGG